Molecule: transfer RNA, 69 nt
Filed under: Troglonectes donglanensis
Lineage: Eukaryota; Metazoa; Chordata; Actinopteri; Cypriniformes; Nemacheilidae
Also listed under: 4 other names
Description: tRNA-Glu
Rfam family: tRNA
About the family: Transfer RNA (tRNA) molecules are approximately 80 nucleotides in length. Their secondary structure includes four short double-helical elements and three loops (D, anti-codon, and T loops).
Source: RNAcentral
GUUCUUAUAGUUGAAUAACAACGGUGGUUCUUCAAAUCAUUGGUCUCGGUUAGAGUCCGGGUAGGAAUU